Molecule: ribosomal RNA, 253 nt
Filed under: uncultured bacterium
Lineage: Bacteria
Description: partial 16S ribosomal RNA
Rfam family: Bacterial small subunit ribosomal RNA
Source: RNAcentral
UACAGAGAGUGCAAACGUUGUUCGGAAUUACUGGGCUUAAAGCGCACGUAGGCGGUGUCGUAAGUGUCAGGUGAAAUCCCACGGCUCACCCGUGGAACUGCCUGGCAUACUGCGAUACUCGAGUGUGGUAGGGGAGAGCGGAACUCCUGGUGGAGCGGUGAAAUGCGUAGAUAUCAGGAGGAACACCGGUGGCGAAGGCGGCUCUCUGGUCCACAACUGACGCUGAGGUGCGAAAGCUAGGGGAGCAAACGGG